Molecule: non-coding RNA, 45 nt
Filed under: Schistosoma curassoni
Lineage: Eukaryota; Metazoa; Platyhelminthes; Trematoda; Strigeidida; Schistosomatidae
Source: RNAcentral
UUUCAGAUGACGAGUCCCAAAUAGGACGAAACGCGUGUCGUGGAU